RNAcentral lists this ribosomal RNA (253 nucleotides) under uncultured bacterium. Its description in RNAcentral is "partial 16S ribosomal RNA". It matches the Rfam family "Bacterial small subunit ribosomal RNA", at positions 524 to 776 of the family's 1533-position model. The record is from RNAcentral.
UACAGAGGUCGCAAGCGUUGUUCGGAUUCAUUGGGCGUAAAGGGUGCGUAGGCGGCGCGGUAAGUCGGGUGUGAAAUCUCGGGGCUUAACUCCGAAACUGCAUUCGAUACUGCCGUGCUUGAGGACUGGAGAGGAGACUGGAAUUUACGGUGUAACGGUGAAAUGCGUAGAUAUCGUAAGGAAGACCAGUGGCGAAGGCGGGUCUCUGGACAGUUCCUGACGCUGAGGCACGAAGGCCAGGGGAGCAAACGGG